RNAcentral lists this ribosomal RNA (506 nucleotides) under uncultured Glomeromycotina. RNAcentral's name for it is "partial small subunit ribosomal RNA". It matches the Rfam family "Eukaryotic small subunit ribosomal RNA", at positions 591 to 1091 of the family's 1831-position model. Lineage: Eukaryota; Fungi; Glomeromycota. The record is from RNAcentral.
CCAAUAGCGUAUAUUAAAGUUGUUGCAGUUAAAAAGCUCGUAGUUGAAUUUCGGGAUUGACCCAUCGGUCGUGCCUUAAGGGGUAUGAACUGGUGUAGUCAAUUUCUCACCUUCUGGAGAACCGUGAUGUCCUUAAUUGGGUGCCACGAGGAACCAGGACCUUUACUUUGAAAAAAUUAGAGUGUUUAAAGCAGGCAUUUUUGCUUGAAUACAUUAGCAUGGAAUAAUAAAAUAGGACGGCAUGAUUCUAUUUUGUUGGUUUCUAGGAUCACCGUAAUGAUUAAUAGGGAUAGUUGGGGGCAUUAGUAUUCAAUUGUCAGAGGUGAAAUUCUUGGAUUUAUUGAAGACUAACUACUGCGAAAGCAUUUGCCAAGGAUGUUUUCAUUAAUCAAGAACGAAAGUUAGGGGAUCGAAGACGAUCAGAUACCGUCGUAGUCUUAACCAUAAACUAUGCCGACUAGGAAUCAGACGAUGUUAAUUUUUUAAUGACUCGUUUGGCACCUUAC